AAAAUAAAGUAAAACAACAAUACAAUCUCUAUAGUAAAAAUAAAAACGUAAAUAAGUAGAAAUAAUUUGGUAAAAUAUUAGUUACAGAUUUUUUUUUUCGAAUUUGUCAUAAAUAUUACAGCAACAAUCUAAAAUGAUUUUAACUAUAUCAACGGAAAUAUACCUGUAACUAUAUAAAUCUUAUCUGUACUGAUAAAAGUAAAACAAAUAUCGAUCCAUAUCUUAUUGCAUUCAUUCGAAACUAAAAUACCGACAGCAACCGACGUACCUACCUUAAACAUUUUAUACUUUUUUAUUUUCAAGGUAAAAUAUUUCUAAGUGUACUUGUGCUAGUCAUUCGAGCGCGAAGUGCGUCACAAUUGUCAAUUGUUAACGACUGACCUACAAUUAGUAGAUUAGAAAUAAAAUAACGUAUUUUGCUUUGUGAUUCUAUUGCAUUAAAAUGUGUGCCUGCGAUUGUGGACCCUGUUGCAAGAUAUUAAGAUGCUUGCUCUGUGUGACUCUGUGUGUACAUUUAUUGAAGAUGUGUGGUGUCGACUGCUGUGACAACUGCGGCGACGAUGAUUAGUAUUAGCAGAAAGAUUAUAUUUAAAUUAAAUAUAAUUAUGUAAUAUUUUUGUGUGUUUUUAUUUAUUAAAUUAAUUUAUUCCUGUUAUUUUACUAGCGUGAGUCUAGAAAUCUUUUUUUGAUUGAGAUUAUAAGUAGCUAGUAUAAUUCUGUAUAUCUACGUGUUACUCUGUACUUGCAACUGUAUAAAUAUUUAGAUUUUUACCGGAC
RNAcentral lists this unclassified non-coding RNA (777 nucleotides) under Melitaea cinxia (Glanville fritillary). RNAcentral's name for it is "misc RNA ENSMCXG00005006770.1". The record is from RNAcentral. Lineage: Eukaryota; Metazoa; Arthropoda; Insecta; Lepidoptera; Nymphalidae.